This 251-nucleotide ribosomal RNA is filed under the name uncultured bacterium. RNAcentral's name for it is "partial 16S ribosomal RNA". It matches the Rfam family "Bacterial small subunit ribosomal RNA", at positions 334 to 577 of the family's 1533-position model. The record is from RNAcentral.
UACGUCUACGGGGGGCAGCAGUAGGGAAUUUUCGGCAAUGGGGGGAACCCUGACCGAGCAACGCCGCGUGAAGGAAGAAGGAAUUCGUUCUGUAAACUUCUGUUAUAAAGGAAGAAAGACGGAUGGAGGAAAUGACAUCCGAGUGACGGUACUUUAUGAGAAAGCCACGGCUAACUACGUGCCAGCAGCCGCGGUAAUACGUAGGUGGCAAGCGUUGUCCGGAUUUAUUGGGCGUAAAGCGAGUGCAGGCG